GACGAACGCUGGCGGCGUGCCUAAUACAUGCAAGUUGAGCGCUGAAGGUUGGUACUUGUACCAACUGGAUGAGCAGCGAACGGGUGAGUAACGCGUGGGGAAUCUGCCUUUGAGCGGGGGACAACAUUUGGAAACGAAUGCUAAUACCGCAUAAAAACUUUAAACACAAGUUUUAAGUUUGAAAGAUGCAAUUGCAUCACUCAAAGAUGAUCCCGCGUUGUAUUAGCUAGUUGGUGAGGUAAAGGCUCACCAAGGCGAUGAUACAUAGCCGACCUGAGAGGGUGAUCGGCCAAAUUGGGACUGAGACACGGCCCAAACUCCUACGGGAGGCGGCAGUAGGGAAUCUUCGGCAAUGGACGAAAGUCUGACCGAGCAACGCCGCGUGAGUGAAGAAGGUUUUCGGAUCGUAAAACUCUGUUGGUAGAGAAGAACGUUGGUGAGAGUGGAAAGCUCAUCAAGUGACGGUAACUACCCAGAAAGGGACGGCUAACUACGUG
Molecule: ribosomal RNA, 497 nt
Filed under: uncultured bacterium
Lineage: Bacteria
Description: partial 16S ribosomal RNA
Rfam family: Bacterial small subunit ribosomal RNA
Source: RNAcentral